Molecule: ribosomal RNA, 255 nt
Filed under: uncultured bacterium
Lineage: Bacteria
Description: partial 16S ribosomal RNA
Rfam family: Bacterial small subunit ribosomal RNA
Source: RNAcentral
UACGAAGGGGGGCUAGCGUUGUUCGGAAUUACUGGGCGUAAAGCGCACGCAGGCGGCUAUCCAAGUCAGUGGUGAAAGCCCGGAGCUCAACUCCGGAACUGCCAUUGAAACUGUUUAGCUUGAGGACGAGAGAGGUGAGUGGAAUUCCCAGUGUAGAGGUGAAAAUUCGUAGAUAUUGGGAAGAACACCGGUGGCGAAGGCGGCUCACUGGCUCGUAUCUGACGCUCAGGCGCGACAGCGUGGGGAUCAAACAGG